UUGCAGCACAAACACACCUUUGACCAUGAUUAACACACAUUGAAUCAAGUUCAUCCCAUAGACCUUUUAGCUUAUUAAAAUACGAAGCUAUAUCUAAGGACCCUUGAGAGGUGUAGGACAACUCUCUUUUCAAUUCAAAGAUUUUGGUUCUGUUUGUAGUGCCAUAUCUGGCCUGGAGUUGGGAACAUAUACUCUGUGCAGUGUCAGAGUACCGUACGGAUUCAGCAAUUGCAGGGGAGAGGGAAGGAGUCAACCAAGAAAUCACCAUGUUGUUGCACCUAUCCCACAACCUUUGUUGAGCCACAUUAGUNNN
This 313-nucleotide long non-coding RNA is filed under the name Nicotiana benthamiana. RNAcentral describes it as "long non-coding RNA (NBEN_LNC022984)". Lineage: Eukaryota; Viridiplantae; Streptophyta; Magnoliopsida; Solanales; Solanaceae. The record is from RNAcentral.